UUUUUUUUUUUUUUUGGUUUUGCUUGCUCAUUCAGCACAGUCCCAGUUUUGGAGCCCUUGGUUUUGUGAGUCGGUAUCUGAUGCCAUGAGAAGUGCUUAUGUGGAGGAGGGUUGCCUACGAGAAAGCAAGAUAUAUUGAAGAUAAUGAUCCUACUUCUGGAUGGGAGAUAACAGCGAGACAAACACACAGCUCUUGACUUGCAUGAGAAGCUGCAGAGAGGACCAUGUAUGAAGACAGAGCAGUGUCACGACUGGAAUCAGCAAUAUUCUGCAAGAUAGUGGAUCCACUUGAACAUUUCACAGCCUUAUGCCAGGUAUGUUUUUUCUUGUAUGGCAGGGUAUGUUGUGACUGGUAUAAAAACAUCUGUAACA
This 372-nucleotide long non-coding RNA is filed under the name Struthio camelus australis. RNAcentral's name for it is "lncRNA (ENSSCUG00000012094.1)". Lineage: Eukaryota; Metazoa; Chordata; Aves; Struthioniformes; Struthionidae. The record is from RNAcentral.